Molecule: long non-coding RNA, 4319 nt
Organism: Cornus florida
Lineage: Eukaryota; Viridiplantae; Streptophyta; Magnoliopsida; Cornales; Cornaceae
Exons: 5
Source: RefSeq, a predicted model, not a curated record
CCUAAUAAAACUAAGAACAAGAUAAAAACCCCAACUAAACGAAAUCUUAUUCGAUACUCUCGAGUUCAGAAUUUUAUGCAAUACAGAUGCGUAUGCAAAUGAUGGCAAUCAUUUUCCUUGAUUGCAAAUCUUUUCAUGAAUCGAAAAGGGUCGAUUCGCCUUGGAAGACCUCGGACUCCUAUGCCAAGUUAUUGUGUUCUUACGAUGGUUUGGUUCUAUUGUGUUUUACUGUAAUUACAAAGCCCUCUAUGUAGCCCAUGUGAUAUUUUCAUGCCCUUUUAAUUCUAUAAAUUCUGUUUCUAGUGAGCUUUAUGGGCUUUUUGAUUCAUCCGCGAAUGGUUGGUUAUAAAGUGAUUAUGUUGUCGCAAAGUUUUGGAAUUUAUGUAUGUGUCUUCGAAAGAGACGAGGGAGUCUUGUUUUUCAAUUUGGUGCCGUGAGAAUGGGGUUCUUGUGAAAAUUUUAUUUUGACUUGGUGGAGGAAAAGUUUAAGGAGGUGCCGAAAAGGAAUUUUGGGGGUAAAAAUGAUGAGUUUAGUUUGGUUGAUUUGAGAGGAUGGCUUUGUGGGUAUGGAACACAGGUAGGUUGAUGUAUGGGCAAUGAAAGAAUAUGGGAAGAAGGAAUCAUGUACUAAAUUGAUUUUUUUAUGCUAUUUGAAGCCUUUGUGUUUGAGAAACACAGGUGAAGUUUUGGUGGAAAAGGGCAACAGGGAACUAGCAGUUUAUGAUCCAAAAGAAUGUACAUUUAAGACUCCAAUGUGCUUUUUGGAUGUUCAAAGUUUGAGAGCAGCUACGUAUGUGGAGAGUUUACUUUUACUAAAUGCGAUGGCACUACUAAGGUAGUGAAUUCAAACAGAGAAUACAGAGUAUACAGGAACAGGUAGAAGAGGAAAUCAUAAACUUUGUUUCUUAUUCUAUUUUUCCCAUUUCUAGUUGGUGUUUAUUUGUAUAUGUGGAUUUGUUAGAAAUUAUUUUCACCAUAUAUAGGGAGGUAAUGAUAAUUGCAUGUCCAAAUAGAAACAGGAUUGGCACAUUUUUGUCUCUAACUAAUUGCAUAAUUGCAUUUUGACGAAGUCCUCAUUUUUUCUUUUUGUGGAUGAACCUUGCAGUAUCAACUAACCUUUCUUUUUAUCAUUGUGAUUCUAUAGGCUUUUGUCUAUCUUAAAAUGGAGUUAUUAUUUAGCUUAUGAAAUAUGAGCAUCUCAUACAUUACAGCCUGUAGCCACGAGAGAUCUUGGGUCUAAAAUCUUCAAGAAUUAAGUUAUAGAAUGAUUGCUAGGCUGAAAAGUAGCCAAGCUAAUUGGGGGAGAGUUCUAUGGUUGUAUGGGACCAUUGUGGGGAUUCUUUGUGGGGCACUUAUAUUUUGCAGGUCUUUGUUUAUUUCAGUUUUCCAUAUAAUCAUGUCUGUGAUCUUUAACUGAAAAAAAAUGUCUGUGAUCGGGUAUCCACGGAUGUGCAUAUUUAUACUUGAUAUAAAAUUGCAAUUAUAAAUAAUAUUUUCAAUUUGUGUUCAAUGAGCAAUAUUAAUCUUCUUAUGGUCUUAAGGUUACUCCUUUUCCUUAUAUUAUAUGUAAAAUUUUAAUGAUUAUUUUUAAAUUAAAAUAUUUUGAACUAAAAAUAUUGGAUUUUGCCAAGAAGUAGUUGAAUUAUUGCACCUACUCGAUAUAGAAGUCCCUACUAAUUUCUACUGUUUUUUUUUUUUUUUUUUAAGCUUUUAGUACUAUUAGCAAAUAGGGACCUUGAAUCAUUUUUGAGUGGGAUUUUUUUUUUUUACAAUGUGGUUAUGCAUUGUGGAUACUCUCUAGUUUGUGAUAUUUUCUCUUACGACCUCUUUUCUUGUUGACUAAUUAAUCUUGGUGAUUUUGUGGCACUAUCAUUCUAAUUAAUUUGGUGUUACUGUGUGAUUACCUGCUUGCUGUUACUUUAUUGAUUACUGGCUUUAUGAAACAUAACUUAGAGUUGAAUUUCUAGGGUUAUAGGCAAGAACAUUUCUUAGAGCAUCUCCAACCCAAUGCUUUUUGGGCUGUUAUUUGUAAAAUAUAGCAGAUGGGCUUCAAUUGGGCUCUCCAAUGGGCUGUCAUUUCUCCUGCCAAAUUUUAACUUUGCCAAUUCUAGUGCCAAUUGUAGCACAAGAAAUGGCUAUUGUUAUUUCGCUCCUAUGUCUCUAGGGCAACAGAGAGAGAGAGAAGAGAAGGGCGGCAACAGACGAGGAGGACGAGAGAGAGAGAGAGGGCUGCUCUUUUUCUUCUGUAAAAAUUAUAUAUAUAUAUAUAUAUAUAUAUAUAUAUAUAUAUAUAUAUAUAUAUAAUAGAGAAUUUUAGAUAGAGAAACUGAAGAAUGUCGGGAGGUAUUGCGCAUGGCCAUCUUGCCGAGGAGCGAAAAGCAUGGCGGAAGAAUCACCCUCAUGGUUUUGUUGCAAAGCCAGAGACUCUUCACGAUGGUUCAGUGAAUCUGAUGGUGUGGCAGUGCAUAAUCCCUGGUAAGGCCAGGAUUGAAGAAAUAGAAUGGUUGGCUAGUACUUCUCUUGAUUUUGCUUGGAUAAUGGUUAUAUGGAUUUUCGGUUUGUACAUUGGUGGAAAAGAAUUAAUGGACUACUGAAGUAGAAAGUUAUCUGGAUAUUUGAUGAGCUUGGAAUUAUAGAGGUAAAAAGUUAUCUGAACAUUUUAUGAACUUGGAAUUGGAUUGUUCAAAAGGCUUUUACAGGUGUAGUAUGGGCAUUUGCAUAUGCUGAACCAAGGUGUGAGUAUGAGACAUUAGCCCCAGGAUUGACUUGGAGUGAUCCUAACUCAAACUAGGUCAAAUAUGGUUGGUUCUUAAUUGAGUCUGUUACCCCAGCUCUAAUUAUCCAAUUUUUGGGUAUUUUUAUGAAGCAAGCCAAAAUACAAUAGAUAAUGCCACCAUCUAGGCAAAAGUUGACCAAUUCCCACUAUGCACCUGAUCCUCACUUCCUGGCCCAACAUAUGAUAGGAUGGGAGAAAUUGUAAUUUUUCUUAUAUUCAAUGAUUCCGGAGAAAUAUUUAUUUCCCAAGUCCAUUUGAGAGGAAAAAAAGAAAAAAAGAAGAGAGGAAGUAAUUGAUGAUUGUGAUGGAUUAGGUGGGAUGUUGGUGACGUUAGUUAGACAGUGGGAAUGGUAUGAAUAGAGUUCGCUGGAGACCACAGUGGAUUUCAUGGUUGAAAUUUUGGAUUCAACCAAUAGAGGGAGGGAGGGAGGGAGUAUAUUGAACCUGCAAAUAUUGACAUUUCAUAGAUAGUUUCAGGCACUCUAUUUCUUCAAUCACAGUCUAUUUUUCUCCAAUACACGACAUAGUUGUUAAAGGCGCACCUAGAUUCCAAAAAAGGCACAGGCUUGUCAAGUCUCAGCUAGAGUGCCUUAACCUAGUACAGGCCAGGCUGCAAAAUCACUUCGUGUUUGUCAUCUGGGUUCGGGAGAUAUUUUUGGAAAUCUAUAAAAGGGUUGAAGAGAGAGAAAAAAUAAAAAUAAAUAAAUAAAUUUGUAAUUAUCAUUUUCUAAAAUGAUUAAUUUAUUACUUAUAAUAAAACUUAUUACACUGAGUUUAAACUUUUGUAAUCAAAUAUAAUAGUUAAUGAGAUUACAGGAAAAGGUCAAAUAUGAUCUCUUAAUUAAUAAUUGUUUGUUGCGAUCAUAUGAAGGUUGUUCCGCCCAUCCCUGCCACAUGGAACAAUUUCUUUUCCACCCUUUUUUGGGUUGUUGGGGUUCUGUUUGUGGGGAGCAGGGACUGUUAAUUGAUCACCUGGCUGUGUGAUCCUUAAUAGACAUGAUUUCCUUUAACAUUUGGAUAUUUUGUUCUUUCUAAGAUAAGCUUAGUGAAGGUACCUUCUGUUAAUGCCUUUUCAGUACAUGUUUCAUUGACCUAAGUUGACAAUGCUGAUAUCCUUUUCUUUUGCACAUUCUUUUGAAUACCACUUUUGAAUGUUACAGCGCAGGAUGUUGCGCUGUUGACUGAUGGAGGAUUCUCAGAAGCUUCACACAGAUAUAUUGUUGGCCACAUAUGACCUGAAACACAGGAAGGCGGUCCUAUUGGUCUCAUCGAAAAUGCAGACAUCAUCACAAUAGAUAUGCAUGAGAGGAGAAUGGAUGUUCAUGUAACAGAUGAGGAGAUGGAGGAGUGAAGGAGGAAGUGGAGCCCCCCUGCACGCAAGGCUGACUGGGAGUUUUGUACAAGUACAUCAAGAAUUUGCAGUCAGCUUCAAAGGGAUGAGUGACUGAUGAAUAGUAGAGAGUUCGAAUUGGUAGGGAGGCAAAAUUCGGCGCCUUGUUGUGACUCUUUAGGGUGACAGUGAGUUCUUUUUUUUUUUUUUUUU